Molecule: non-coding RNA, 91 nt
Organism: Penicillium arizonense
Lineage: Eukaryota; Fungi; Ascomycota; Eurotiomycetes; Eurotiales; Aspergillaceae
Source: Rfam
UGGGAUGAUGAUCAUUCGACAUGCAAAGGCAUUCCUCAAACUUAAUCACCAUGUGGAAUCUGUCAAAAUUUAGUUUCAGCCUUGUCUGACC